AGCCCUAAAACCUUGCCUGUAAAUGCAUCCUUACAUAAAGCUCAAGUCAGACAUUAGAAGAGAAAAAUUCUGGAGAAGUCAGAAACAACAAGAAAAAUACAAAACACUAAAAAGGUCUGAAGAAUUAGAGAAAAAAUACAAAAUAAAAUCACCACAAGCAAUGGUUCAUUGAAAUUCUGUGUGUCUCUUAUGGUUUCUUAAAUGAUUGAAGUAAUGAUUUACUGUUUUUGGGAUCAAAAUGGUGUGAGCAUGCUGAAACUGUUGUUGUUGAUCUGCUGAAUCUCAUUCUCUUCUACUGCGGACUCACUAUUCUUUUGCUUAAUUUCACAGGUAUACCCUGGAUCUCUUUAAAAUGUAAAUUGCAACAUGAGAAGCCUUGUAACUGAUAUGCAAUUCAAGCCUUUUUAUGUCUAAUGAAUAGUCAUUCACGUUGUAAUCUUGUGUUAUUUUAGCUUCUUUGGAUUUGUUCAUCUAUGUAGUUAUGAUUUUGUUUGAGUUUAGUUUCUGGACUGAAACUAUAAAUUGGGGUUCUGGUUAGAUGGUGUGAAAUUCUGAUCUUAUGUGGACUAAUUGGGUGUCUUAGUUGUAGAGAUUCAGCUAGAUGAACAAGGACUCUUAUCUUGUACUUUAAUUAGUUGAAACUAUUUGACUUUUAGUUUGUGUUUUUCUAGCCACCAAUUUAAAUGCAUGUCGAUUCAGACCAUUGAUAUAAUGGAUUUGGGUAAUUUUUUUAUCCUAUUAAUUAUGUUCAAGUUUGCACCCAUAUAGCUUCAAACAUGGCUCAAUGAUUUCAUAAUUUGUCACUAGUUCUUCUUUGUGUAUGUACUGGGAUCUUUGCAUUGUUAAUAGAAUUUUCAAACGAAUCAGUUCAUUAGGUUUGGUUUGUCUUCUUCUUUGGGAAGUGUUGAAUCACUAUAGUCUUGCUAAACUCGCCAAUCCAAAUCAGAUGUUGCAUAGGUCUGUAAUAACUGAGUUUUGACACUAAAAUGACGGAUAAUUUGUGUAUUGUCAUAAUUGAAAGUUAUAUUUCACCAUAAAAUACAUAUACUAAUUUCGGAAUGUGUCAUGCAUUUGAUCUAAGGGUUAUUAGUAUUUGUUCAACUCCAAUUUUUGUGAAUGAUAACUUGUGUUGAAUUGUGUAUUGGGCUACAAGCUUUGGCCCAUUUGUGAUUGUUUCUCCAUU
Molecule: long non-coding RNA, 1183 nt
Filed under: Nicotiana benthamiana
Lineage: Eukaryota; Viridiplantae; Streptophyta; Magnoliopsida; Solanales; Solanaceae
Description: long non-coding RNA (NBEN_LNC019034)
Source: RNAcentral